Molecule: long non-coding RNA, 420 nt
Organism: Anoplophora glabripennis (Asian longhorned beetle)
Lineage: Eukaryota; Metazoa; Arthropoda; Insecta; Coleoptera; Cerambycidae
Exons: 3
Source: RefSeq, a predicted model, not a curated record
GUGUGACGACUAUAUAAAAACCAUCUAUAAUAGUGUGUCCAGUGAUAGAAUGAAUUUGCCUUUUGUCAACUUUAUUUAGAAUUGUUAAUCAUGGAUGGUGUCGAAGAAAAGGAAAUAAUUAGCCACAUGUAGUGUUCUUCAAAAUAAGAUGUUUCCAUAAAUAGGUAGAUCCUGAAAUGUUUCUUUUCUGAGAUGCCAGAUGUUAACAUGAACUCUUGAAAAAUUUCAGGCAAAUACAUAUAUCUACAGAUACCCGCUGCACAAAUAUGAAGCUUUGACUUGAACGAUGCUGUUCUUUAAUCAAUGCUGGAAAUUGGACAAUGCCAGGGACAAAAUUUACAAUAUCACUUGUUUUUUAGUAGAUAAAAAUACUCUGGAAUUUGAGUGUUGUGAGAAAUAAGAAAUCCCCUAAAGAUUUUC